UGAGGAAUAUUGGGCAAUGCCCGCAAGGGUGACCCAGCAACGCCGCGUGGAGGAUGAAUGUCGUAAGAUUGUAAACUCCUGUUAGAGGGGAAGAAUAGUACCGGUUGGACCGGUAUAUGACUGUACCCUCAGAGAGAGCCCCGGCUAACUACGUGCCAGCAGCCGCGGUAAUACGUAGGGGGCAAGCGUUGUCCGGAUUUACUGGGUGUAAAGGGCGCGCAGGCGGAAUGGAAAGUCAGUGGUGAAAUCCUACAGCUUAACUGUAGAACUGCCUUUGAUACUUUUAUUCUUGAGUUCGGGAGAGAGAGACGGAAUUCCAGGUGUAGUGGUGAAAUACGUAGAUAUCUGGAAGAACACCAGUUGCGAAGGCGGUCUCUUGGUCCGACACUGACGCUGAGGCGCGAAAGCGUGGGGAGCAAACA
RNAcentral lists this ribosomal RNA (422 nucleotides) under uncultured bacterium. Its description in RNAcentral is "bacterial SSU rRNA". It matches the Rfam family "Bacterial small subunit ribosomal RNA", at positions 355 to 774 of the family's 1533-position model. The record is from RNAcentral.